Molecule: ribosomal RNA, 253 nt
Filed under: uncultured bacterium
Lineage: Bacteria
Description: partial 16S ribosomal RNA
Rfam family: Bacterial small subunit ribosomal RNA
Source: RNAcentral
UACGUAGGGUGCAAGCGUUGUCCGGAAUUAUUGGGCGUAAAGAGCUCGUAGGCGGCCUGUCGCGUCGGCUGUGAAAACUCAGGGCUCAACCCUGAGCCUGCAGUCGAUACGGGCAGGCUAGAGUCCGGCAGGGGAGACUGGAAUUCCUGGUGUAGCGGUGAAAUGCGCAGAUAUCAGGAGGAACACCGGUGGCGAAGGCGGGUCUCUGGGCCGGAACUGACGCUGAGGAGCGAAAGCGUGGGGAGCGAACAGG